GCAGACGCUAACUGUCAGUUCUUUUGUAAAACUAGUGCAGGACUUGUUUCCAGCAUAAAUGAAGUUUACAUUAAGCACAAAAAAGCAUGAGUACCAAUCCUCAACCUUUGGUUUGAAAGGUCGCAGAAGCUAAGAUGCUGGUGAAAUAAUGGUAAAUAUCUAACCAUGCUGUGGGGUCGGAGGCCUAGAUCUUUGAACCCCAAGGGAAGCCAGAUUACAGUUUGCCCUCCUCCCAUCGAUCACCGGCGCGGGAUCAACACAAGCCCUCGUCGCCGCAUCCGGGUCCCGGAAGAACAUAGUUGGCGAGCACAUACACUUCACCGGUGAUCCAUGGUCUGCGUUCUCUGGCAAUUGGAGGUUUAUGAAGUUGGCUAUAGCAGCAUCAUAUCUGUGGGCUUGCGCAAACAUGGUGAAGCAUAGGGAGCAUCUUCGGAACAAAUUCCACUUAAGCCACGCUCAGCAGAUUUACAGCCAUUAAGGACAAGAUAAUGAAGGUAAAAGUCUUAGCUAUUUUUUUUACCUGGCACGGUUAUGACGCCAAAUCGUGCUUCAUUUACACGGGUUCAGCACUCUGGAUAGCCCAUUGUUCCCGACGUCAGAAAAUCGUGCAUCAUUUAUAUGAGUUCGGUACUCUGAGUACUCUCAUAUUUGUUUAUUGAUUGCCUAAACCGGCUUCUGUGUCCACUUAUCCAAAUAGCGACCACUCCAAUAGUACAUAAAUGCACGAUUCAGUGGAUAGACAUCCGGCCUAGAAUCCAUCAACGUCUGGUACUCUGGUCCACGCAACUCUCAGACGUGUGUUGUUCUGCGGCGUUGGCCCGUUUGAUCUACGUGAGCAAGUUUGGUUUUGAGUGGUAGUUGAGUGGUUUAGGUAGAUGAUGAUGGAAUCGAGUGUACAAUGGAAUAAGUCGCUACACGUCAAAAUGAAGAACUGCAAACUCGUUCGGUUUGUUUGGCACACAUUCAUGUACUUUUGUUGCACUACCGUUCUCUUAAAAACACAGGCAUGUAUUCCGAAUAAAAAACAGCACACAUGCACAUCUUUCUGUUCAUCCAUGCGUUUCUAAGAGGCUGUUGAUUAUAUUUGGAUGUGCAUACUUGGAAUAAGUGAACAUGGAACUCUAUACCUGAUUUGACUGGCAGUCUAAUCUUUGCUUUAAA
Long non-coding RNA from Phragmites australis (common reed), 1161 nucleotides. RefSeq lists it as uncharacterized. Lineage: Eukaryota; Viridiplantae; Streptophyta; Magnoliopsida; Poales; Poaceae. The record is from RefSeq and is a predicted model, not a curated record. The transcript is spliced from 4 exons.